UACGGAGGGUGCAAGCGUUAUCCGGAUUCACUGGGUUUAAAGGGUGCGUAGGUGGCCAACUAAGUCAGACGUGAAAUCCCUCGGCUUAACCGGGGAACUGCGUCUGAUACUGGAUGGCUUGAGUUCGGGAGAGGGAUGCGGAAUUCCAGGUGUAGCGGUGAAAUGCGUAGAUAUCUGGAGGAACACCGGUGGCGAAGGCGGCAUCCUGGACCGACACUGACGCUGAGGAGCGAAAGCCAGGGGAGCAAACGGG
RNAcentral lists this ribosomal RNA (253 nucleotides) under uncultured bacterium. RNAcentral's name for it is "partial 16S ribosomal RNA". It matches the Rfam family "Bacterial small subunit ribosomal RNA", at positions 524 to 776 of the family's 1533-position model. The record is from RNAcentral.